RNAcentral lists this long non-coding RNA (284 nucleotides) under Elaeis guineensis (African oil palm). Its description in RNAcentral is "long non-coding RNA (EGUI_LNC060996)". The record is from RNAcentral. Lineage: Eukaryota; Viridiplantae; Streptophyta; Magnoliopsida; Arecales; Arecaceae.
AGGUAUUUUCUAUUUGGGACCAUUAUGUGACUCAUUCUCUUGAUAACUAACAAUUCUUCCUCUAUAAUUAGAUCUAAGUAUAACUUAAGUACUAGUCUGGAUUUUAAAAGACCUAGAUCUAUGACUCGAUGUGCUGAGGGAGUAUUCUGGAUCCCCUAUUGUUGCCUCUUCCUUUCUAAAUAGAGAUUCAACCAGUGUCAUGAGGGGUUCAACAACUAAUUUUGAUUUUAGCUGAGUGUAAUGGUCACUAGGUGUGGAUACUUUAUUAUUAUUAUUAGCUUCGG